GACGUAGGGCGCGAGCGUUGUCCGGAUUUAUUGGGCGUAAAGAGCUCGUAGGCGGUUUGUUGCGUCGGCUGUGAAAUCCCGAGGCUCAACCUCGGGUCUGCAGUCGAUACGAGCAAACUAGAGUGUUGCAGGGGAGACUGGAAUUCCUGGUGUAGCGGUGAAAUGCGCAGAUAUCAGGAGGAACACCGGUGGCGAAGGCGGGUCUCUGGGCAACAACUGACGCUGAGGUGCGAAAGCGUGGGGAGCAAACAGG
RNAcentral lists this ribosomal RNA (253 nucleotides) under uncultured bacterium. RNAcentral's name for it is "partial 16S ribosomal RNA". It matches the Rfam family "Bacterial small subunit ribosomal RNA", at positions 524 to 776 of the family's 1533-position model. The record is from RNAcentral.